GGACGUUGUUUGUAUGUACUUGUUGGUGAAAUGUGAACAGGACAUUGUGUACAGGGUAUAAGUAUUGUAUGAUAUAUAGUGAGGACAUCGUGUACAGGGUAUUAUUGGUAGGUGAUAUAUAGUGAGGACAUCAUGUACAGGGCAUCAUUGGUAGGUGACAUAUGGUGAGGACAUCGUGUACAGGUAUCAUUGGUAUGUGAUAUAUAGUGAGGACAUCGUGUACAGGUAUCAUUGGUAUGUGAUACAUAGUGAGGACAUCGUGUACAGGGCAUCAUUGGUAGGUGACAUAUGGUGAGGACAUCGUGUACAGGUAUCAUUGAUAUGUGAAAUAAAGUGAGGACAUCGUGUACAGGGCAUCAUUGGUAGGAGAUAUAUAGUGAGGACAUCGUGUACAGGGCAUCAUUGGUAGGUGAUAUAUAGUGAGGACAUCGUGUACAGGGCAUCAUUGGUAGGUGAUAUGUAGUGAGGACAUCGUGUACAGGGCAUCAUUGGUAGGUGACAUAUAGUGAGGACAUCAUGUACAGGGCAUCAUUGGUAGGUGAUAUGUAGUGAGGACAUCGUGUGCAGGGUAUCAUUGGUAGGAGAUAUAUAGUGAGGACAUCGUGUACAGGGCAUCAUUGGUAGGUGAUAUAUAGUGAGGACAUCGUGUACAGGGCAUCAUUGGUAGGUGAUAUGUAGUGAGGACAUCGUGUACAGGGCAUCAUUGGUAGGUGACAUAUAGUGAGGACAUCAUGUACAGGGCAUCAUUGGUAGGUGAUAUGUAGUGAGGACAUCGUGUACAGGGCAUCAUUGGUAGGUGAUAUGUAGUGAGGACAUCGUGUACAGGGCAUCAUUGGUAGGUGACAUAUAGUGAGGACAUCAUGUACAGGGCAUCAUUGGUAGGUGAUAUAUAGUGAGGACAUCGUGUGCAGGGUAUCAUUCCCGUCUUGAAUGCCCUUGAGUUGGUUGCCCCCUGUGUAGGUUGCCUCUGUAUAGGUUGCCUCUCACCUGAAUGUCCCUGUGUAGUUUUCUUCUGUGUGAGAUUCCUGUGUAGAAUGCACCUUGUGUAUAUUGCCCCUGUAUUGGUUGCCACUGUGUAGGUUGCCCCUUUUGUAUGUUGCCCCUGAAUUAUUUGCCCUUGAGUAGGUUGCCUCUUUUGUACAUUGCCCCUGAAUUAGUUGCCCUUUUUGUACAUUGCCCCUGAAUUAGUUGCCCUUGAGUAGGUUGCCCCUUGAGUAGUUGCCCUUGAGUAGGUUGCCCCUUUGUAUGUUGCCCUUGAGUAGGUUGCCC
Haliotis rubra (blacklip abalone) is the source of this 1269-nucleotide long non-coding RNA. RefSeq lists it as uncharacterized. The transcript has 3 exons. Lineage: Eukaryota; Metazoa; Mollusca; Gastropoda; Lepetellida; Haliotidae. The record is from RefSeq and is a predicted model, not a curated record.